Molecule: ribosomal RNA, 910 nt
Filed under: Phaeoacremonium sp. CMW 22119
Lineage: Eukaryota; Fungi; Ascomycota; Sordariomycetes; Togniniales; Togniniaceae
Description: eukaryotic LSU rRNA
Rfam family: Eukaryotic large subunit ribosomal RNA
Source: RNAcentral
GUUGACCUCGGAUCAGGUAGGAAUACCCGCUGAACUUAAGCAUAUCAAUAAGCGGAGGAAAAGAAACCAACAGGGAUUGCCCCAGUAACGGCGAGUGAAGCGGCAACAGCUCAGAUUUGAAAUCCGGCCUCGGCCCGAGUUGUAAUCUGUAGGGGAUGUCCCUGGCGCGGCGCCUACCGAGUUCCCUGGAACGGGACGCCAUAGAGGGUGAGAGCCCCGUAUGGUUGGACGCCUAGCCUCUGUGGGACUCCUCCGACGAGUCGAGUAGUUUGGGAAUGCUGCUCAAAUUGGGAGGUAAAUCUCUUCUAAAGCUAAAUAUAGGCCAGAGACCGAUAGCGCACAAGUAGAGUGAUCGAAAGAUGAAAAGCACCUUGGAAAGGGGGUUAAAAAGCACGUGAAAUUGUUGAAAGGGAAGCGCCCAUGACCAGACUCGCGCCUGGCGGAUCAUCCAGCGUUCUCGCUGGUGCACUCCGCCUGGUACGGGCCAGCAUCGGUUUCUGCGGGGGGAUAAGAGCAGCGGGGACGUGGCCCCUCCGGGGGUGUUAUAACCCGCUGCACGAUGCCCUCUCGGGGACCGAGGUUCGCGCUCUGCAAGGAUGCUGGCAUAAUGGUCAUCGGCGACCCGUCUUGAAACACGGACCAAGGAGUCGUCCAUUACGGCGAGCGUUUGGGUGUCAAACCCCUACGCGUAAUGAAAGUGAACGCAGGUGAGAGCUUCGGCGCAUCAUCGACCGAUCCUGAUGUAUUCGGAUGGAUUUGAGUAAGAGUCGUACCGGACGGACCCGAAAGAUGGUGAACUAUGCCUGAAUAGGGUGAAGCCAGAGGAAACUCUGGUGGAGGCUCGCAGCGGUUCUGACGUGCAAAUCGAUCGUCAAAUUUGGGCAUGGGGGCGAAAGACUAAUCGAACCAU